Molecule: ribosomal RNA, 761 nt
Filed under: uncultured bacterium
Lineage: Bacteria
Description: bacterial SSU rRNA
Rfam family: Bacterial small subunit ribosomal RNA
Source: RNAcentral
AACAGGAUUAGAUACCCUGGUAGUCCACGCUGUAAACGAUGUCGAUUUGGAGGUUGUGCCCUUGAGGCGUGGCUUCCGGAGCUAACGCGUUAAAUCGACCGCCUGGGGAGUACGGCCGCAAGGUUAAAACUCAAAUGAAUUGACGGGGGCCCGCACAAGCGGUGGAGCAUGUGGUUUAAUUCGAUGCAACGCGAAGAACCUUACCUACUCUUGACAUCCAGAGAACUUUCCAGAGAUGGAUUGGUGCCUUCGGGAACUCUGAGACAGGUGCUGCAUGGCUGUCGUCAGCUCGUGUUGUGAAAUGUUGGGUUAAGUCCCGCAACGAGCGCAACCCUUAUCCUUUGUUGCCAGCGGUUCGGCCGGGAACUCAAAGGAGACUGCCAGUGAUAAACUGGAGGAAGGUGGGGAUGACGUCAAGUCAUCAUGGCCCUUACGAGUAGGGCUACACACGUGCUACAAUGGCGUAUACAAAGAGAAGCGACCUCGCGAGAGCAAGCGGACCUCAUAAAGUACGUCGUAGUCCGGAUUGGAGUCUGCAACUCGACUCCAUGAAGUCGGAAUCGCUAGUAAUCGUAGAUCAGAAUGCUACGGUGAAUACGUUCCCGGGCCUUGUACACACCGCCCGUCACACCAUGGGAGUGGGUUGCAAAAGAAGUAGGUAGCUUAACCUUCGGGAGGGCGCUUACCACUUUGUGAUUCAUGACUGGGGUGAAGUCGUAACAAGGUAACCGUAGGGGAACCUGCGGCUGGAUCACCUCCUU